This 28-nucleotide small RNA is filed under the name Bombyx mori (domestic silkworm). RNAcentral describes it as "ovarian small RNA-19598". Lineage: Eukaryota; Metazoa; Arthropoda; Insecta; Lepidoptera; Bombycidae. The record is from RNAcentral.
UAAUAUAACCAAUUGCUCCGAGAUAAGA